Molecule: unclassified non-coding RNA, 220 nt
Filed under: plant metagenome
Description: partial contains small subunit ribosomal RNA and internal transcribed spacer 1
Rfam family: Eukaryotic small subunit ribosomal RNA (bases 1-46)
Source: RNAcentral
AAGUCGUAACAAGGUUUCCGUAGGUGAACCUGCGGAAGGAUCAUUACCGAGUUCCGAGUGCCUUAAGGCCUCAACUCCCACCCUAUGUGUACUUGUAAAUACGUUGCUUUGGCGGGUCGGGACCUCGCGUUCCUGUCGGCUUAGGCUGAUGUGCACCCGCCAGAGGACCAGCAAACUCUGUUUAAAUGUACUGUCUGAGUGGAUUAUCAAUAAAUCAAAA